UGGGCUUAACUUCCGACCCUAUCAAAAGUAAUCAUAAUAGUAUCAAAGGCAGGUAUAAGAGAAAAAAAGGAAAGAGAGAAACUUACCAAAUUUGAAUAAUGAUCCUUCCAUCAAGAUUCUGAGCAUCGAUUCCUUCAAAAGGAUUGUUUUCAAUCUCAAUCAGAGGAUCCUGGGCCAAUUGAUGAAUGAGGGCAUUCGCUGCAAACAUCAACUCGCUCUCUCGCUCAAUCUGUUCAGCUGCAACUUGCAGAGCACUUAGCGGCUGUCGCAUACGCCAAACACCCUUUCUCUUCCUUGCCUGCCGAUCUCACUUUCGUAGCCCUCCGGCGACGACCCUGUUUGGACAAGCGAUUCUCAAAGUUACAAGAGUUUAAUUUCAGCUGCAAAGCGUCACAAUAAAAUAUCUGACGACAGCACUCUUAAAUCCUAGCUUAAUUCCCACUUCCUUCUUUCCCUUCUGCUCCCGGGUGCCCGUCCUCCAUCUCAGCCAUCAUUCCAAUCUCUAAUCCAACCAAAUUUCUCUCUCCAACAAAAACCCAAAUAUUUCUUCUUGCAAAACCCCGAUAAUUUCUUUCCUCCAAACCCUAACAUACAACAGGUACUCAAUAGAACCGGGCAACUAGCAACCAGAGAGACACCACCGCCUCUGGCCAAGUCCUGAAGGAGGUUCGAGAACGAACCGACAGGCCGUGAAGCAGGCGUGGGGCGAGCGUAUUGCGUCCAGAAAGAGUGUUACAGCGUGUAAAGUUUCGUAGGCAGCUCUGGUGGCGCUGCAGGCUGAUUUAUGGAGCUCGUUGGGAUUGGAUAUGCAGGGGAUUCCAUCUCCUCAAAAGCUUAUAACCAUUGAAGGAAGGCUGAGUUGGACAUCUUAAGCUCCAUAGUUCAUCAAGUUAGGAAGGUCAGUGGUACUGGUUCUGAAAGCAGGAGGAGCAUCCAUUCAUCUAAAAGAACAGAAUCAGAUCAGAAUAGCAUGAACAGAGAUGCUGGUGGAUUCAGGUGUUGGACAAAAUCUUAACCCCAAAUGAAGCCAUAUGGUGACAUAGGCAAAUGAUAAAGAUAUGGUAUAUAAGUAGAGAGAGAUACAAGAUCAAAUUGCAAGGAAGAAGAGGGGUACAAGUGCUCUCCAAGUUGCAGCUGAACAGAUGAAGCGAGAGAAGGAGCUGAUAUUUGCAGCGAAUGCCCUCAUUCGUCAUUUUGUAGGAAUCCAUGCUCAGAAUCCUGAUGGGAGGAACAUUAUUCAAAUUUGACAAGUUUUUCUUUUUUUAUUUAUAUAUAUAUUUAUACCCGCCCUGGAUUCCAUUAUGACUGUUUUAUUGAUUAAAUAAUUAUGGAUUAUGACUUCUUAAUAUCUCGUUAUCA
Long non-coding RNA from Theobroma umbraticum, 1359 nucleotides. RefSeq lists it as uncharacterized. The record is from RefSeq and is a predicted model, not a curated record. NCBI's taxonomy places the organism in Eukaryota, Viridiplantae, Streptophyta, Magnoliopsida, Malvales, Malvaceae.